RNAcentral lists this ribosomal RNA (520 nucleotides) under uncultured Glomus. RNAcentral's name for it is "SSU rRNA". It matches the Rfam family "Eukaryotic small subunit ribosomal RNA", at positions 569 to 1088 of the family's 1831-position model. Lineage: Eukaryota; Fungi; Glomeromycota; Glomeromycetes; Glomerales; Glomeraceae. The record is from RNAcentral.
AGCAGCCGCGGUAAUUCCAGCUCCAAUAGCGUAUAUUUAAGUUGUUGCAGUUAAAAAGCUCGUAGUUGAAUUUCGGGAUCAAAUUGUCGGUCGUGCCUCGGUACGCGCUGGUAUUAUUGGUUCCCUACCUUCUGAAGAACCGCGAUGUCAUUAAUUUGGUGUCGUGGGGAAUCAGGACUGUUACUUUGAAAAAAUUAGAGUGUUUAAAGCAGGCUUACGCUUUGAAAUACAUUAACAUGGAAUAAUGAAAUAGGACGUUUGAUUCUAUUUUGUUGGUUUCUAGGAUUGACGUAAUGAUUAAUAGGGAUAGUUGGGGGCAUUAGUAUUCAAUUGUCAGAGGUGAAAUUCUUGGAUUUAUUGAAGACUAACUACUGCGAAAGCAUUUGCCAAGGAUGUUUUCAUUAAUCAAGAACGAAAGUUAGGGGAUCGAAGACGAUCAGAUACCGUCGUAGUCUUAACCAUAAACUAUGCCGACUAGGGAUCGGAUGAUGUUAAUUUUUUAAUGACUCAUUCGGCGCCU